AGAGUUUGAUUCUGGCUCAGGAUGAACGCUGGCGGCGUGCUUAACACAUGCAAGUCGAACGAAGCAGCUUCUGCUGCAAGAAAGCUGACUUAGUGGCGGACGGGUGAGUAACGCGUGGGUAACCUGCCUCAGUACAGGGGGAUAACAGUUGGAAACGACUGCUAAGACCGCAUAACCCGCUAGUGUCGCAUGACACGGACGGAAAAUAUUUAUAGGUAUGAGAUGGGCCCGCGUCUGAUUAGCUAGUUGGUGAGGUAACGGCUUACCAAGGCGACGAUCAGUAGCCGACUUGAGAGAGUGAUCGGCCACAUUGGGACUGAGACACGGCCCAAACUCCUACGGGAGGCAGCAGUGGGGAAUAUUGGACAAUGGGGGAAACCCUGAUCCAGCGAACCGCCGCGUGAGUGAAGAAGUAUUUCGGUAUGUAAAGCUCUAUCAGCAGGGAAGAUAAUGACAGUACCUGACUAAGAAGCCCCGGCUAACUACGUGCCAGCCGCAGC
RNAcentral lists this ribosomal RNA (500 nucleotides) under uncultured bacterium. Its description in RNAcentral is "bacterial SSU rRNA". It matches the Rfam family "Bacterial small subunit ribosomal RNA", at positions 8 to 518 of the family's 1533-position model. The record is from RNAcentral.